CGAACGAUGAUCAGGAGCUUGCUCCUGUGAUUAGUGGCGAACGGGUGAGUAACACGUGAGUAACCUGCCCCUGACUCUGGGAUAAGCGUUGGAAACGACGUCUAAUACUGGAUAUGAUCACUGGUCGCAUGGCCUGGUGGUGGAAAGAUUUUUUGGUUGGGGAUGGACUCGCGGCCUAUCAGCUUGUUGGUGAGGUAAUGGCUCACCAAGGCGACGACGGGUAGCCGGCCUGAGAGGGUGACCGGCCACACUGGGACUGAGACACGGCCCAGACUCCUACGGGAGGCAGCAGUGGGGAAUAUUGCACAAUGGGCGAAAGCCUGAUGCAGCAACGCCGCGUGAGGGAUGACGGCCUUCGGGUUGUAAACCUCUUUUAGUAGGGAAGAAGCGAAAGUGACGGUACCUGCAGAAAAAGCACCGGCUAACUACGUGCCAGCAGCCGCGGUAAUACGUAGGGUGCAAGCGUUGUCCGGAAUUAUUGGGCGUAAAGAGCUCGUAGGCGGUUUGUCGCGUCUGCUGUGAAAUCCCGAGGCUCAACCUCGGGCUUGCAGUGGGUACGGGCAGACUAGAGUGCGGUAGGGGAGAUUGGAAUUCCUGGUGUAGCGGUGGAAUGCGCAGAUAUCAGGAGGAACACCGAUGGCGAAGGCAGAUCUCUGGGCCGUAACUGACGCUGAGGAGC
Molecule: ribosomal RNA, 679 nt
Filed under: Curtobacterium sp.
Lineage: Bacteria; Bacillati; Actinomycetota; Actinomycetes; Micrococcales; Microbacteriaceae
Description: bacterial SSU rRNA
Rfam family: Bacterial small subunit ribosomal RNA
Source: RNAcentral